UACCAGCACCCCGAGUGGUCGGGACGUUUAUUGGGCCUAAAGCAUCCGUAGCCGGUUCUACAAGUCUUCCGUUAAAUCCACCUGCUUAACAGAUGGGCUGCGGAAGAUACUAUAGAGCUAGGAGGCGGGAGAGGCAAGCGAUACUCGAUGGGUAGGGGUAAAAUCCGUUGAUCCAUUGAAGACCACCAGUGGCGAAGGCGGCUUGCCAGAACGCGCUCGACGGUGAGGGAUGAAAGCUGGGGGAGCAAGCCGG
RNAcentral lists this ribosomal RNA (253 nucleotides) under uncultured bacterium. RNAcentral describes it as "partial 16S ribosomal RNA". It matches the Rfam family "Archaeal small subunit ribosomal RNA", at positions 474 to 727 of the family's 1478-position model. The record is from RNAcentral.